Molecule: small RNA, 134 nt
Filed under: Vibrio furnissii
Lineage: Bacteria; Pseudomonadati; Pseudomonadota; Gammaproteobacteria; Vibrionales; Vibrionaceae
Description: Histidine operon leader
Rfam family: Histidine operon leader
About the family: At least 6 amino acid operons are known to be regulated by attenuation. In each a leader sequence of 150-200 bp is found upstream of the first gene in the operon. This leader sequence can assume two different secondary structures known as the terminator and the anti-terminator structure.
Source: RNAcentral
CAUCAUCACCAUCAUCCCUAAGUUGUCUUUCGGGAGAUGUACGCAUACCCGGGAGGCAGGACUCUCCCGGUGGUUACAUGAAAAGUAUUUUAAGAUUUCAGACCCUCGGGAGACCAAUCUCUCGAGGGUUUUUU